GCGUCACACAAACUUGAGGCAAAUGCGCGCUCAGACCAAUUACACAGCACUGAAAAUGUUCCCAACAUGGAAAUGAUCCCUAACGGCAAGUGUUUAACAAGUAACAGUUUUACCUUAGGGUCGAAACGAGGAACGCGCCCAGUUAUAAUAGAUUUAUUAUAGGAAAGGCGGGUCGUGUUUGCGUUACGCGUCUGGCGACAAACGGCACCGGGAAUGACAGGAAAGAACUCACUUUAAUGCCAGCCGUGUCCUGAUUGACAAUGAACAGCUGAAUCAGGACCGUGCCCCCAAAAGCUGCAGGGUUCCCCACGGAGACGACCCCUAAGCUGCUAAAGUCAGAGGUCGAUGGUCCCGGAGGGAAGCGUUGGCGACACCCCAGCGGUUGGGCAGACAGAGGCGUUCAGUAGACAAAUGGGGUCUGACUUCAUCAUUAAAGAGGUUUCUGUAAACACCUCAUUUGUAGUCCUUCCGUGAAUCAAAGAGGCCGCAACAAAAGGACGAUGGAGGUACGUUGACUGCAGGCACUCAGAGGUAAAGCCGAUAGCAGCUCAACAAUAGCAGCAGGUGAGUUUUCUCUUUAGUUGUAAAUGGAUCCAAUCAUAGUGAGGACAGAUCUUAUCAGC
This is a non-coding RNA of Paramisgurnus dabryanus, 623 nucleotides long. Lineage: Eukaryota; Metazoa; Chordata; Actinopteri; Cypriniformes; Cobitidae. The record is from RefSeq and is a predicted model, not a curated record.